CAGGUAGAUGAAGUGGCGUGAUCAGGGUAUGGAUUUGGGCUUCCCCAAAGAAAUUGUGGCCCAGAUAAUGUUUCCACAACAGAUCCAUUAGAUGUUGAAGGGCCACCAAAGGAUGACAUACUUCCAUGGUAUUGAUUCAACUUUGACUCGGGAACUGAAUGUGAUUGUUGGAAUGUCGCUCCGUGGGUUGAAUUCAUGCUUGUAAACGUAUGCUCCAUAAGACUACCCCUUCCUUGGUCCUUGCCAAUAGGUGCAACUUUCCCAGAGUUUGAUCCUUGAGAAUGAAGAAUUGACGCCAGCCCAGGUAAAUGGUUGCCAGUUGGGCUCAAAUUCCUGAAAACAGGGGAUUUGCUGAUACUUUGCAAUGGACUAUGUUCCAUGGGACUGUUGAACUGUGCCCAGUUACCUGGCGGAGAGUUGGUUACUGGAGACCCCACUGGGGGCCAGAAAUUCCGGGAUUCAUCUUGUUCAAGCUCUUGAUUAAGUUGCAACAUCAAGUUUCGCCGUGCACCACCAGGACGGCUAGGUUCAAGCUUUAUCCGUUUACCAGCUAUGUCACUUCUAUUCAGUGACUUAAGUGCCGCUUCAGCAGCUCUAACAUCAUAAAACUCAAUAAACUUGUGGUGCCUCUUAUGUGGUGUUUCCCUUAUCUCUUUGACUUCCCCAUAAGCCCCAAAUAUUUGUCGGAGGUCUUCAUUUGAGACUGAUGGAUCCAGAUUAAAAACGACCAGAGUUCCUUGAUUAAUAUCCUUGUCAGAUGGAUUGUCCUUUGGAAUUGAGUAGUGAAUAUCAAGUUUCCUCCGUCGUAGAGGUUUGUUUUGCAAUGCACGCAUAGCAGUUCG
This 842-nucleotide unclassified non-coding RNA is filed under the name Hevea brasiliensis (rubber tree). Lineage: Eukaryota; Viridiplantae; Streptophyta; Magnoliopsida; Malpighiales; Euphorbiaceae. The record is from RNAcentral.